This 1967-nucleotide long non-coding RNA is filed under the name Mytilus galloprovincialis (Mediterranean mussel). The record is from RNAcentral. Lineage: Eukaryota; Metazoa; Mollusca; Bivalvia; Mytilida; Mytilidae.
GCAUCAGCAAGAUUUGUACAAUUUGGCAACAGAAAUAACAGUCAAUAGCAUUAACAAAGUCAACAAAUAGGUUGUUAUAUAAAGAAAAAUUACUAAAAAAAUAACAAGCAUUAAAAAUUCAUCAACUUCUUUUCUUAUAUACCUAUUGAUACAAGUAUGUAAAAAUAGAAAGAAAUUAGAAAAGUCAAAGCCCUAUAGAACAUCAAGAAUUUAGGAUGUACUUAGGUGAGGUUUUGGAAUUUGUGUCAAAUGUUUCGGACUCCUUGGUGUUUUUCCAUCAAAUGCAAUGUAAAAUAUUUUGCCCCAUUACACCCAUUUAUUUUUUCAUAUAAGACUUAUUAGCUUAUGAAAGGUCAUUUACCAAAAUUUUAGAAGAUUCUUGAUUUUCUUUCUUUUGUUUUGAGACCCAAAUAAUACUAAUACAAACAUAAGGUAAAAGUCUGAGUCAGCCUUUCCUGCCAUAUUUUAAAUAUCAAAUAUCACGAAAAGGAGGUCCAUGACCUAUCUAUAUUUUUAGCUUAUCUUUAUCCUUAAUCGAUGCUUUACCAGCUUAUAGUAUCAAUUUUAAUUUCUUAAUUUCUUAAUUUUUACCUAACCUCACCCAAGAACAUCCUUAAGUUUUAAAUAAAUCCAUCAUCACAUGAUCAGUGUUAGAUAUGAAUUGAGAUCAAAAUAACUCCUGAUUGUAUAUGCAGCAUUCCUUAAACACAGGGUGUAGUAUACAGAGUAAUUUAAAUGGUUCUGUAAAUUUCAGCAUUUUUUUGUUAUAUAAUUAUUGUAGAUUCAUUGUUAUUUGCAGAAAAUGGAUAAUCACAAUUUUUAGAGUUCAACAAAAUAUAUGUUUCCUACAGAUGCAUGAAGUAUUUGUUGAAAUCAGGAAAUCAAGUAACAACCAAUUUUUUGUUAAUCCAUGAACUUUUAUAUCCAAGAAAAUAAUAAAUCCAUAGGAGUACAGUAUAUUAAAUAAAACACCAAAGUUUGUUAUACUGUUUCUUUUCUGCAAACAAACCUUGUUUUGAAUAAAAGAAUCGAAAUCAAAAUCUCAUAAACAAGGAAUUUGAUGACAGCUACAAAUAAUGUAUUGUGAAUGUCAAACAUUUCCUAAUUGAUUUAAAAAAAUGGUAUGAUAAAACGUACAUAAUUUUUAUCAAGCUUUUUCCAUCAACACAUGGUUAGUAAGAACCAGAACUGUACAACAACAGUUGAUAUACAAAUAACUAUAUAAAAAAGAAGAUGUGGUAUGAUUGCCAAUGAGACAACUCUCCACAAAAGACCAAAUGACACAGUAAGUUUUAUCAGCUACUAAUAUUAUAGAAUGUACUAAAAAGACUUUGUUUCAAAUUAUUCAUAACUUCAACAAACCCGUAUUUUAAAUAUUGAGAGUCUGUCUGAUACUAGUUUUUUUUUUAAAGCAAUUUAAAUAGAUUCUUUUUCCUGGACUCCAAGAUGUACUAAUGAUGAUUUAUGAAUGUCAGAUUGUAAUGCCCUCAAAUAUUAAAUGAAAUGAUGAUUUGAUAACCCGUUCAAUGAGGAAUCCCUAGAAUGAGUAUUAUUUAAUUCCCCUUCACCAUAAUUUUUUUUUUUUAAAACUUAGAAUAUAGGGUCAGGACUGAGAAAACUAUGACUGGUCAUUUUGUUAUUGCCCCUUUAAAUGCUACAGAUUAUAAAUAAGAUAAUAUUUACAACAGCACUUCUUCUACAUGUUCUAUCAAUAUUAAUACAUGUAGCACAGAAAAAAAACAACAUACGAAAAAAAAAUGCUUCUGUGGUUUGCGAAAUAUAUAUAUGUAAAUAAUGCCAUUCAUAAUCAUUUUUGGUUUGCUGUUUAGAAACUGACAUUAUAAAAUGUUUAAAUAAAUAUAAGUAUACUAAGUAAAAAAAGCUUAGCAACAAAUAUAUAUAAUUUUAUUUUUUGCCAUUCAAAUAUAAACUAUCUUUCAAACCAAACACUAAACUAUUGACAUAAG